This 301-nucleotide ribosomal RNA is filed under the name uncultured bacterium. Its description in RNAcentral is "partial 16S ribosomal RNA". It matches the Rfam family "Bacterial small subunit ribosomal RNA", at positions 509 to 807 of the family's 1533-position model. The record is from RNAcentral.
CAGCCGCCACGGUAAUACGAAGGGGGCUAGCGUUGUUCGGAAUUACUGGGCGUAAAGGGCGCGUAGGCGGCCAUUCAAGUUGGAUGUGAAAGCCCUGGGCUCAACCUAGGAAUUGCAUUUGAUACUGUUUGGCUUGAGUUCGGGAGAGGUGAGUGGAAUUCCCAGUGUAGAGGUGAAAUUCGUAGAUAUUGGGAAGAACACCAGUGGCGAAGGCGGCUCACUGGACCGACACUGACGCUGAGGCGAGAAAGCGUGGGGAGCAAACAGGAUUAGAUACCCCGGUAGUCCCUGUCUCUUAUAC